Molecule: long non-coding RNA, 586 nt
Organism: Hyposmocoma kahamanoa
Lineage: Eukaryota; Metazoa; Arthropoda; Insecta; Lepidoptera; Cosmopterigidae
Exons: 3
Source: RefSeq, a predicted model, not a curated record
AAAACAAGUAUGCCUAUUGAAGUGUGUGGUCUUGAUAUCUAAGUAGCGCAUUGCGGACGUUGCAUGCAGCGGUUUGUGGCGUUAGCUGGCGGCAUCGGCAGGUUGGUGUAUGGGAGGCUGCCGUCGGGAACUCGUCGUAGCGGCGGAGUGGCGCACGCGCGGGGCAGAGCGCUCGCGACCGGCGCACCACACCACCGCACCGGACCGGCCACGACUCCGACCAUUCGCCACUCAGUGCACGCGCUGCCUUGCCGCCGCCAGUCUGCGCGGCCCUCCGCGAUUCCACGCGCCAACACGCCCGAUAACCCUCCGAUACAUGACAACAAACUUUAACAUUCCAUUAAUUAACUCAACUUUUACCAGUUUCCAAUGUGCUUUCGCAAAUCGUAGGACUUUACUGUAAAGUGCUUGGUUUUGUAACUUAACCAUUUUCCAAGUGCAUCUAAAAAGUGACGUUAAUUUGUUUGUUAGUGCUGGAGAUUAUUUGCGAUCUGAAUUUUAAGACGGAGGUACCAAAACCAGUAAAUGAUGUGAUUUUACCCCGUCCUACUUUGUAGGAAACAUUCACAACACGCCUACGCCACAA